RNAcentral lists this ribosomal RNA (405 nucleotides) under Rhipicephalus pusillus. RNAcentral describes it as "partial large subunit ribosomal RNA". The record is from RNAcentral. Lineage: Eukaryota; Metazoa; Arthropoda; Arachnida; Ixodida; Ixodidae.
UAUUUUGACUAUACAAAGGUAUUGAAAUAAGAUUUUAAUUGAAUGCUAAGAGAAUGGAAUUUCAGAAAAAAACUUUUUUUAAAUUAAAAAUUGAAAUUUUUUUAAUUUGUGCAGAAACAAUUAUUAACAUUAAGGACAAGAAGACCCUAUGAAUUUUUAAAAUUUUUAAUAAUAGUAAUUUAUUAUUAUUAAAAAUUUUAGCUGGGGCGGCUAAAAAAUAUAAUUAACUUUUUAAGAAUAAAACGAUCCACUAAUAAUGAUUACAUGUUAAAUACUCUAGGGAUAACAGCGUUAUAUUUUUUGAUAGACCAUAUUGACAAAAAAGUUUGCGACCUCGAUGUUGGAUUAGGAUACUUUUUUAAUGAAGAUAUUAAAAAAAGAAGUUUGUUCAACUUUUAAUUUCCU